ACAUUAAAAACAAUGCAAAGUGUGCAGAGUGCUGAUUUGAAAUUUUAUUUUCGAUCUUUAAUUGUACUUCCUUUUUACACAGGAAGUAGAAAGUCAUUUGGUGGAUGGCGUUUGGACUGCAUCGUGAGUUCUCUCUCUUUAUCAGUGCUCUAUUGGAAUGAGAUCUAGUGACUGUGAAGGCAAAAGAAGUGGCACCUUCUGCUGCUGUCGCCCAUCCGCUUCAAGAAAUACCUCAUAGGAUGGAAAACGUCAUGAUCAGAGUGUCACAGGCACCAGACUUUCCUGUUGCACCUCCGUAUGAUGAAGGUCCUCUUCCGUACUCGAUGGUCCAACCUCGAGGUCAAGACAGUGCAAACGAGUCAGCGCCAGUUUUUGUUUUCAAAACCACAUGCUGCCCUAAAAAGUGGACCCAAAGUCACUUUCUGGUCAUGGGAUUUAUCUUUGUCUGUCUCUUACUCCUGCUGUUGUUAGGGUUCAUUCUUUACUCAGUUUACGUUAAGAGGUAAUUUUGUUCAAAAUGAAAACUGUUAAAAAAGAUCACCAUAUCAUGGUGCAAAAAAGCCUGACAUUGCCCUACGAACCCCAAAAGAGAGUUUGUAUAAAAUGUUAAUUUGUAUAAUAAUAAAAACUGUGAAAAAUGUUCAUUGUAUGGCCAUACAGAGAUGGUGGGUCAUAUGGGAUGUUAGGUGUUAAUGCAUGAAAAAAGUUCACCCUAUCUGCUGUUUUUCAGUCUGCUGUUGUGAGUGUUGUUGAGUUUACUAAAUUUAUAUAUACAUGUAUUAAUCUUGCUCGUCUGGCCUUGUCGUGUCUACUCAGAGCCGUUUUUUUCCCUUUACCAUCUUUAUUUUUACACCAUUAAGUCAUCUUCUUGCCCUGGGUCAGUUGGGGACUUUCCAAAGGCCACAUUUUUGAUUUAUCUUGCACCUGCUUGUCUAUUCCUUGGGUCUUCCAAGGGUUUCCACUUAUAUAUUUAUUUUUUAAUGACUUCUUAAGCACAGUUUGCACCAAUAUUUUUCUCUCCCUGGCCUGGCCUGCUUUCAGUUUUAGUCUAAAUUACUGCUGGCCUCAGACACCAUUAUUUCCAGGUCUCUUUUUAUAAUAUUUUUUAAAAUAAUUGUUUUAUGCAAGAUUACAAUAAGAUGUUCUUUUUCUGGCUUACAGUGAUUACAAUGAGGUUACAUAGACAGUGUUUUACUACCAUAGACAGUGUUUCACUAUCAUAAACAGUUCACAACUACAUAGUUUUUACCUUCCAUAGCUUACAGGCCCUUAAACAGUUGUACCCUUUUAAUACAGCUGUAUCUUGCUACAUUCCAGGAGAGGAAUGUAGGAAUGUAAUCCAGGAGAUCCUUGUGUCGUUAACACCCAUCACCCGCAGCUUCUCACCCGGUAGCAGAGGUUGAAUGGUGUUGAAAGCACUGGAGAAAUCAAACAAUGUGAUCCUAACAGGGCCUCCCCCACCAUCCAGAUGCAAAUGCCUCUUUACCUGGCCUUUGUCGCUGUUGGGCUGAUGAUGUCUUCCGUGGAGGUGGAGGAGGAGGGGCAGAUAGAGGGGUGCUGUACAGGAGAAUGCUGGGGCUUGGGUCGAGCCAUUUGGGACAGUGUGGGUGUGUGGGAGGCUGGGGGUGU
Long non-coding RNA from Scatophagus argus, 1629 nucleotides. RefSeq lists it as uncharacterized. NCBI's taxonomy places the organism in Eukaryota, Metazoa, Chordata, Actinopteri, Scatophagidae. The record is from RefSeq and is a predicted model, not a curated record. The transcript is spliced from 5 exons.